RNAcentral lists this ribosomal RNA (322 nucleotides) under uncultured eukaryote. RNAcentral describes it as "partial 18S ribosomal RNA". It matches the Rfam family "Eukaryotic small subunit ribosomal RNA", at positions 1470 to 1796 of the family's 1831-position model. The record is from RNAcentral.
CCCUUAGAUGUUCUGGGCCGCACGCGUGCUACACUGAGUGGAUCAGCGGGUCAGGUUGCGCGAAAGUGUUUCCUAAUCUUUAAAUCCGCUCGUGAUGGGGAUUGACGGUUGCAAUUUUCCGUCAUGAACGAGGAAUACCUUGUAAGCGCGGGUCAUCAUCCCGCGCUGAAUACGUCCCUGCCCUUCGUACACACCGCCCGUCGCUCCUACCGAUUGAGUGGUCCGGUGAGGCUUUGGGAUCUGGGCGGAAAGAGCGUUUCGCUGUUUCUGCCCGGAAAACUCAGUCGAACCUUAUCAUUUAGAGGAAGGAGAAGUCGUAACA